UAGAUGGAAAUAUAUUUCACUUUUGGCAGUGGCAAAGGGUUUUUCUCCGACUGGGACAUACAUGGGACUAAAAAUAAGGACGCCUUUUAUUUCCAGAAUCCUUGACAAUUUACAAAAUGCUUGAACACAUGGGAUUCUAUCUGAUCCUCACAAGACAGAGGAAUGUCGUUAGAGGAAAUUGUAUGCAUCACUCUUUGAUAAGAAAAUAUCGGUGGCUCGUGAACUAGAAUGGCUUUCAAGAAGAUUUCUGGCCUGUCAUUAACAGGAACAAUCCAACCGAUAGCAUGAAGGGAGAUAGGAAAGAUACUCUCCCCAAGAAGGAAAAAUUGAAAGGAAGGUACCUUUAAUGGCAACGUGCAUUUACCGUGAUGAAGACAGACUUCUAUUAUUCAACCGGGGGCCGUUAUAGAACACGAUUCUAAGAGAUAAGUAAUGAGAUGCCGGAAGUGAAUAAUGAGAUGUGAGCUUUGAAAGUCAAGUUGCAGCUCACUGAAGAGGAAUUAUUACCAUACUUAACACUUAUAUUGCACUACAUUGAUUGUAGUGCACUUCAAGGUGGUUAUAACUCUGGGAGUCCAGAGCAGAUAUUGGGAAGAAUUCAAGAGGCUCUGAUCACGGCAAAACUGGGGAUGCAAAUCUGGCAAGGGCUCUCAGCCAGCCUAGCGUCUCUCCGUGGGACAUAUGUUUCUCACUCUUACUUCCUCGCUUUCCGAGAGUGUUGUCAUUGGAUAUCCUGCUGGAGACUUCGAUUCCACAUAUAGGAGAGAUCAUACGGUAUCUGUCUUUCUUUGUCUCACUUCUUUCACUUCACAUAAUGCCCUUGAGGUCCAUCCACGUCACAAAUGCCUCUUCCUCUCAGGGACCAUUUACAGAAUCCACCCCCGCGGGCACACCAGCCUCCCAGACUGUGAAGACUAGGCGCGUCCGGGGGUCGCCUGCACCAGCGUUUCCCCCGCAAGAAGGACUCUAGUGCGCAGCCUUGCAGUCCGUGUUAGCAACCCCUCAGGGUUGUCCUCAGCUGUUCUCGCUCAGUUGUAUCACUCGCUGCAGUUCAGCCCGAUAGCCAUCCACUCGUCUUGGUAGGUCCAUCAAUCAAACUACCCGGGAAGGAGAUCUAUCGCAGCGGACCUGUGAGACGGCCUCUCUUCCAGGGAUAAAACCUGUCACUUACACCUAAAGUGAAGACUGUUACGAAAUUUCCCAGAAAAGU
This is a long non-coding RNA of Neofelis nebulosa (Clouded leopard), 1210 nucleotides long. RefSeq lists it as uncharacterized. The transcript has 3 exons. NCBI's taxonomy places the organism in Eukaryota, Metazoa, Chordata, Mammalia, Carnivora, Felidae. The record is from RefSeq and is a predicted model, not a curated record.